This 397-nucleotide ribosomal RNA is filed under the name uncultured bacterium. Its description in RNAcentral is "partial 16S ribosomal RNA". It matches the Rfam family "Bacterial small subunit ribosomal RNA", at positions 523 to 918 of the family's 1533-position model. The record is from RNAcentral.
AUACGUAGGGGGCGAGCGUUGUCCGGAAUGGUUGGGCGUAAAGGGCGCGUAGGCGGCUUUGCAAGUCAGUAGUGGAAGUCCAUUUUUCAAGGAUGGAAGUGCUACAGAAACUGCGGAGCUUGAGUGCAGGAGAGGUUAUCGGAAUUCCCGGUGUAGCGGUGAAAUGCGUAGAGAUCGGGAGGAACACCAGUGGCGAAGGCGGGUAACUGGACUGCAACUGACGCUGAGGCGCGAAAGUGUGGGGAGCAAACAGGAUUAGAUACCCUGGUAGUCCACACUGUAAACGAUGAAUGCUAGGUGUAGGAGGUAUCGACCCCUUCUGUGCCGCAGUAAACACAGUAAGCAUUCCGCCUGGGGAGUACGGUCGCAAGAUUAAAACUCAAAUGAAUUGACGGGG